RNAcentral lists this transfer RNA (60 nucleotides) under Cymothoa indica. Its description in RNAcentral is "tRNA-Ser". Lineage: Eukaryota; Metazoa; Arthropoda; Malacostraca; Isopoda; Cymothoidae. The record is from RNAcentral.
AAUUACUUAGCUAAAUUAAGUGUUUGUUUUGAAAACAAUUGAUAGGAUUCCUAGUACUAA